Molecule: long non-coding RNA, 265 nt
Organism: Ostrea edulis (European flat oyster)
Lineage: Eukaryota; Metazoa; Mollusca; Bivalvia; Ostreida; Ostreidae
Exons: 3
Source: RefSeq, a predicted model, not a curated record
UGUGACGACUGGUGGGUAGAUGUAAACUGUUUUAUGAUAAUAUCAAGGAGAUUGUGCCAGUAUAUGAAUAUUGUGCAAGGGAAUUUUAAAUAAAAGAUUGAAAUGCUGAUGCUGAUCAAUUAUCUAGCAAAUAGAACUGGAACACUCAAGAAAGCAGAAGAAACCAUUACCUUCUAUAUGUGUGCCCACACAUCCACCUCCGGCCCAUACUUGUCUGAAGGAUGAAACAGCUCUGGAGCUGCAUAUUCCAGGGAGCCACACCGAG